Pelodiscus sinensis (Chinese soft-shelled turtle) is the source of this 899-nucleotide non-coding RNA. The record is from RefSeq and is a predicted model, not a curated record. Lineage: Eukaryota; Metazoa; Chordata; Testudines; Trionychidae.
CCCGGCUCAGCUCCCUGCACCGUAGUGACCCGGCCAGGGAGGGUGGGCAGCGCAGCCUGGCCUGCUUGUGUCCUGGCUCAAGGUUGUAGCAGAUCUGAAGCCUCCUGUGGGCAGGGUGUUGGGGUUCAUUUGACCUACAGCUUUUUCUCAGGGUUGUACCCUGCACGUAGAUGUGGUUGACGCCACGUGCUAUCUGCCUUCACACCCACAUAGUUCUUAGCCAUAGACUCAUAAAAGAUAAGGGUUGGAAAAGGCUGUCAUAGAGUCCAACCCCCUGCUCAAAGGAGGACCAACCCCAACUAAAUCCCAUGUGAGUUUCAGCCUUAUGUGCAAGCAGAGCGGUGCCAGUUCCCAGGCCCUAGCUGAGUUCUAAAGUAGUUCCUCUACUUUGCAGAUCAUCCCCCGCAACCUGUUUACCCAGCCCUGUCUUGCAUUCUGUGGGAGGGCACCCCACAGUGCAUUGCUUGGGAAACAUACAACCUGUCCUGCUGCCUGCCCCAGGCACCAGCAGAUGAGGCAGCCUUUGUAAGAUACUUCGCAUCUUUUGCCCGAAAACAUUCUCCAACCACGACCUGCUCCUGUGAUGCCACCAGGAGGACAUGGCCACUAUGAUUAUGAGAAGACGCUGGAGAUGGAUGAGAAGGGAGGCAGACACCAUCGUAAAGGUAGCACUUCACUGGACGCCUGAAGGAUGACGGAAACGUGGGAGGCCCAAGACAACAUGGCAGCGCACUGUUGCGGCAGACAUGAAGAGAAUGCAUUACAACUGGGGCACACUGGAGAAAAUGGCCAAAGACAAACAAAAAUGGAGAACCUUCAUUGCUGCCCUACAUGCCAGCGGACGUAAUAGGCAUUAAAUAACUAACUAUCAAAUAAAGCUUCCGUUACUGUUUCUGUAA